Molecule: small nuclear RNA, 166 nt
Filed under: Suricata suricatta (meerkat)
Lineage: Eukaryota; Metazoa; Chordata; Mammalia; Carnivora; Herpestidae
Description: U2 spliceosomal RNA (ENSSSUG00005004730.1)
Rfam family: U2 spliceosomal RNA
About the family: U2 is a small nuclear RNA (snRNA) component of the spliceosome (involved in pre-mRNA splicing). Complementary binding between U2 snRNA (in an area lying towards the 5' end but 3' to hairpin I) and the branchpoint sequence (BPS) of the intron results the bulging out of an unpaired adenosine, on the BPS, which initiates a nucleophilic attack at the intronic 5' splice site, thus starting the first of two transesterification reactions that mediate splicing.
Source: Rfam by way of RNAcentral
AUUGCUUCUCGGCCUUUUGGCUAAGAUCAAGUGUAGAAGUUUCAGAAACUCUUAAAUGGGAAAAAAAUUAUGCAUAGAUUUGGCUGACUUCGAGGUGGGUGGGCAUGCCCUACUGUUUUCCUUUCUUUUGAGGUCUUUUUCUGAUCCCCUCCUAUUGGAUUCUGAC